GGCAAAUGGAGGGAACGACGAGGCAAAGGCAAGGAGGCGCCGACCACCACGCUGCCUACUAGUGGCCAUCGGGCUUGUGUGCGAUGAAACUGAUGCACUGCACUUGGCGGUUGUUGUCGAAGCCGAUGAUGCGGACGAAGGCCCUGGGGUACUCCUUCUUGCACUCCUCCAGCUCCUUCGCCACCUGCGUCGCGUCGGUGCACCCGAACAUGGGCAGCUUCCACAUGGUCCAGUAGCGCCCGUCGUAGUACCCCGGCGACCGGUGGUUCUCACGCCACACGAACCCCUCCUGUUAAAGGUCACCGUCGAGUUCAGUCCCCUCCCCCAUCACGCCCAACCGGUAUUCGUGAGAAUGCAUGCGGGCAUGCUUCCCUCAGACGAUCGUACGAGAAAGUCCAACAAUUCUGAGGGUUGGUUGGUGGACAUGGAAGCAUAGUCUAACUAAACUUUCCUUUGAAGUGGUACUUACGUGGCUGAACUCCAAGCAGGGAAUCCAUUUGGAGCGGAGAAGGUACUCGAUCUGCUUGAGCAAGACCUCGUCCACCAGCGUAGGAAGGUAGGAGAGGGUCUCGAACUUCUUCUUGCCCUCGAUCGGCCAC
RNAcentral lists this long non-coding RNA (599 nucleotides) under Musa acuminata (dwarf banana). RNAcentral describes it as "long non-coding RNA (MACU_LNC003121)". Lineage: Eukaryota; Viridiplantae; Streptophyta; Magnoliopsida; Zingiberales; Musaceae. The record is from RNAcentral.